GUGUCAUGGUACUCGGCUAUUAAGAGACAUGCUUAAUUUGAAAGUCUGUUAAAAACGUUUGAAGGGACUAGCCACUGAACUUUCAACCUGCUGAUCCAAUGCUCCUUCCUGAAAGCAAUGAAUCUGCUGACAUAGUUUGGGUCAUCUUCACAGCUGGUCCAGGAGACCUUCCUAGGAAGAACAAAACCAGAAGGGAAGCCCAGAGGAUGUCUGCUGCUGCUAACCAACCUUGGCCUGCUGUUACAGCUAAGGCCAUGGUGACAACCUGCAAAGUGCAAGUGCACCAGCCCUUCCCCCUUCGACGAAAUCCUGGCCUUUGGGACUGGCGGACUUGUAAAGCUAAAUGAAACGUGCCCCAGCGUUGGCUUCUGCUGAGAAAACGCAGUGGCAGGUGUGUGAGACACAUCAGCACCUCCAUAUUAGUUAUGAUUUGAAUGCUUUAAACACGUAUUCGGGUGGAGGAUGAGUCUGACGGUUGGACUGCACUUCUUGUGCAUGAUGGUGGUUCGCCCAGAGGGAAAGAUGGUACCGUAAAGGCGUCACUGGGGCGGGAGUCCCAGCACACUAAGGGGAGAGGAUCAGGUGGUGAUGAAAAAGUGUUUUUUCAAAGCAUCACAACAGUUCCGGCAAGUGCAGAUUAGUUAGAUUAAUUCUGUUUAACGCAUCAAAAUGUUUCCUUUACAUCAGAAAUAAACAAAGUUUUAAAAAGAAGUUUUAAAAAGUG
RNAcentral lists this long non-coding RNA (724 nucleotides) under Struthio camelus australis. RNAcentral's name for it is "lncRNA (ENSSCUG00000008809.1)". The record is from RNAcentral. Lineage: Eukaryota; Metazoa; Chordata; Aves; Struthioniformes; Struthionidae.